This 1048-nucleotide ribosomal RNA is filed under the name Salmonella enterica. RNAcentral describes it as "partial 23S ribosomal RNA". It matches the Rfam family "Bacterial large subunit ribosomal RNA", at positions 161 to 1250 of the family's 2925-position model. RNAcentral also lists the same sequence under 1 other name. The record is from RNAcentral. Lineage: Bacteria; Pseudomonadati; Pseudomonadota; Gammaproteobacteria; Enterobacterales; Enterobacteriaceae.
AAUCCAUAGGUUAAUGAGGCGAACCGGGGGAACUGAAACAUCUAAGUACCCCGAGGAAAAGAAAUCAACCGAGAUUCCCCCAGUAGCGGCGAGCGAACGGGGAGGAGCCCAGAGCCUGAAUCAGCAUGUGUGUUAGUGGAAGCGUCUGGAAAGGCGCGCGAUACAGGGUGACAGCCCCGUACACAAAAGCGCAUGUGCUGUGAGCUCGAUGAGUAGGGCGGGACACGUGGUAUCCUGUCUGAAUAUGGGGGGACCAUCCUCCAAGGCUAAAUACUCCUGACUGACCGAUAGUGAACCAGUACCGUGAGGGAAAGGCGAAAAGAACCCCGGCGAGGGGAGUGAAAAAGAACCUGAAACCGUGUACGUACAAGCAGUGGGAGCACCCUUUGGGUGUGACUGCGUACCUUUUGUAUAAUGGGUCAGCGACUUAUAUUCUGUAGCAAGGUUAACCGAAUAGGGGAGCCGGAGGGAAACCGAGUCUUAACCGGGCGUUAAGUUGCAGGGUAUAGACCCGAAACCCGGUGAUCUAGCCAUGGGCAGGUUGAAGGUUGGGUAACACUAACUGGAGGACCGAACCGACUAAUGUUGAAAAAUUAGCGGAUGACCUGUGGCUGGGGGUGAAAGGCCAAUCAAACCGGGAGAUAGCUGGUUCUCCCCGAAAGCUAUUUAGGUAGCGCCUCGUGAAUUCAUCUCCGGGGGUAGAGCACUGUUUCGGCUAGGGGGCCAUCCCGGCUUACCAACCCGAUGCAAACUGCGAAUACCGGAGAAUGUUAUCACGGGAGACACACGGCGGGUGCUAACGUCCGUCGUGAAGAGGGAAACAACCCAGACCGCCAGCUAAGGUCCCAAAGUCAUGGUUAAGUGGGAAACGAUGUGGGAAGGCCCAGACAGCCAGGAUGUUGGCUUAGAAGCAGCCAUCAUUUAAAGAAAGCGUAAUAGCUCACUGGUCGAGUCGGCCUGCGCGGAAGAUGUAACGGGGCUAAACCAUGCACCGAAGCUGCGGCAGCGACACUGUGUGUUGUUGGGUAGGGGAGCGUUCUGUAAGCCU